GGGUCGUUAGCUCAGUCGGUAGAGCAGAGGCCUUUUAAGCCUUUGGCCCUGGGUUCGAGUCCCAGACGACCCACCA
Molecule: transfer RNA, 76 nt
Filed under: Candidatus Peregrinibacteria bacterium
Lineage: Bacteria; Candidatus Peregrinibacteriota
Description: tRNA-Lys
Rfam family: tRNA
About the family: Transfer RNA (tRNA) molecules are approximately 80 nucleotides in length. Their secondary structure includes four short double-helical elements and three loops (D, anti-codon, and T loops). Further hydrogen bonds mediate the characteristic L-shaped molecular structure. tRNAs have two regions of fundamental functional importance: the anti-codon, which is responsible for specific mRNA codon recognition, and the 3' end, to which the tRNAs corresponding amino acid is attached (by aminoacyl-tRNA synthetases). tRNAs cope with the degeneracy of the genetic code in two manners: having more than one tRNA (with a specific anti-codon) for a particular amino acid; and 'wobble' base-pairing, i.e. permitting non-standard base-pairing at the 3rd anti-codon position.
Source: RNAcentral